This 22-nucleotide unclassified non-coding RNA is filed under the name Chlamydomonas reinhardtii. Its description in RNAcentral is "small RNA Cre_2558". The record is from RNAcentral. Lineage: Eukaryota; Viridiplantae; Chlorophyta; Chlorophyceae; Chlamydomonadales; Chlamydomonadaceae.
UCCAGUGACCUUCCCCGUGGUA